AACGAACGUUGGCGGCGUGGAUUAGGCAUGCAAGUCGAACGAAGACAGCUUUGUAGCAAUACCGAGCUGGACUGAGUGGCGAAAGGGGCAGUAAGGCAUGGGUAACCUACCCGGGGAUGGGCAUAGCCGUUCUAACGGACGGGUAAUUCCCAGCGAUUUGGCGAGGCGGCAUCACCUUGCCAGGAAAUGAGUUUCGCCUCGGGAGGGGCUCAUGUGAUAUUAGCUUGUUGGCGGGGUAACGGCCCACCAAGGCUAAGAUGUCUAGCGGGUGUGAGAGCACGACCCGCGCCACUGGCACUGAGACACUGGCCAGACACCUACGGGUGGCAG
This 330-nucleotide ribosomal RNA is filed under the name uncultured Planctomycetota bacterium. RNAcentral's name for it is "bacterial SSU rRNA". It matches the Rfam family "Bacterial small subunit ribosomal RNA", at positions 29 to 351 of the family's 1533-position model. Lineage: Bacteria; Pseudomonadati; Planctomycetota. The record is from RNAcentral.